Long non-coding RNA from Toxorhynchites rutilus septentrionalis, 1112 nucleotides. RefSeq lists it as uncharacterized. Lineage: Eukaryota; Metazoa; Arthropoda; Insecta; Diptera; Culicidae. The transcript has 3 exons. The record is from RefSeq and is a predicted model, not a curated record.
UCACAGUUUGCCUAGCGCUAAACGAAAAAAAGUUAACCAUAAAUCGAUAUGGAAAACGGAUUGGAACCAUUUUGCUAUUGCCCUGAACGUGCAAACGUGGAAUUAUCGCAGUUUUUCGAAAUUGUUACUGAAUUUGUACCUAUAUGUCCCAAUUCACGCCAGAACCAUGUGGACUAUUGAGUUUUCCUGAUGAAAUGGAAUCGCCAGGACAUAACAUACCAAGAAAUCGCCAGGACAUAACCAAGCAUCUAGCUGCAGUUUUUCGUAUUCCAAUUCAAUCUGCUGUAAAGGAACUGUUACCACAGUGGCCUACGACUGAAGAAACGUGGGCUUAGGACAGGAAAAAAAUCUGUAUUUUGAAGAAAGGCGCAACAUCCUGAAUUCGGUAAUAUUAUUUGAAUGCUUUAUAUACCUUUAUAAAAUAUCUAUUUUUAUGUAUACCUUUUUUGCAUUUUCGGGCAUUUUAUCGUCUAUCGGAUAAUAAUUAUCGAAAGACGAUCCUUUAACACGUUGAGUUCCACGGUUUUACAGCGACUCUGGAAAUUUUUAAAUGUAUUAUGACCAUCGUUUCUUAUUGUAGUUUAAGGUAUUUUUGUUCAAAAGGGAAUGGUUAUAAGCUUAUAUUAGUUACCUUUAUUAUCGUAUGCUAUACUGUCAGUCACUUGUGAUUGACGCAGCCUGAGCGAAAAUUCGGAGUCAGUCACCGGUGACUGACGUGGCAGACAACGUGUUGAUCAACGAUACUUAACGAACAGGAAUACGGUUACUCAGGAUUAGAACGAUGUUAAAUGACGUCACUAUGAAAACUUUUUCUGUUGAUGGACCACAAUUCGACCGUCGUUUUUUUAAAAGUAUGUGGUACUGUAUAAUUCGAAAAAUUAUAAAGUUCUGUUGUCGGGUACAGUGAAAUAAGGUAAUACUUUUACCCACCGGAAAAUACUUUUAGCUACUUUUAGCUUUUAGCCACUGGAAAAAAUAUUUACGAUUAGUUAAGUAACCGGUGUUAUGAAGAGAAAUAAACGUAACAUGCCCAAUCGAUUCGAACACUGCCGUCGCGUUAUUCGGAAAAAUUAAAUAAAAGAGGAAUUCAACCGGUUCCUUUUGAGGCAACC